RNAcentral lists this non-coding RNA (139 nucleotides) under Burkholderia sp. RNAcentral's name for it is "SAH sequence". It matches the Rfam family "SAH (S-adenosyl-L-homocysteine) riboswitch aptamer". Lineage: Bacteria; Pseudomonadati; Pseudomonadota; Betaproteobacteria; Burkholderiales; Burkholderiaceae. The record is from RNAcentral.
GCCUUCGAGGAGCGUUGCGACGGGUACCGCGAAUCAGCAUAUAUUCGCCGGCCGCCCGCCAGGCUCGAAGGCUUCAAUCGGAAGGACCGGAUGCGCAUUGCGCUUUCCAGUUCACCGCAUCGAACCGCGCUCACGUCAA